ACAAGCCUGAGAAACGGCUAGUAGGACUAAGGUCUGCAGCAGGCGCGAAACUUACACAAUGGUAGAUUGCUAGUGAAAAUCGACCGAUGUAGUGAAGAAAAAUAACGAUGCGCUUGCCUUUCAAAGGUUAGCGCAAUUGGAAUGAGACGACUCUAAACCAGUCAGUCGAGUAACAAAUGGAGGGCAAGUCUGGUGCCAGCAGCCGCGGUAAUUCCAGCUCCAUUAGCAUACAUUAAAGUUGUUGCGGUUAAAAAGCUCGUAGUUGAAUGUUUGUGUUGCUUUAUUUAAGUUUGUCGCUAAGGUUCCUUCGGGGGCCGACUUACUUUGAUGCAGCAGCAAGUUUCGCCACUUAAUCGAGUGCGGAGCGCGCUUCCUAUCCUAUCUAACGAUGGACAGUAAGCAUGUUUACCUUGAGAAAAUUAGAGUGCUCACAGCAGGCAAUCGGGUUUUAACUAACCCUUACGCCUGAAUAAUGUUGCAUGGAAUAAUAGAAUACGGCCUCGGUUCUAUUCUGUUGGUCUUAUAGAACAACAAAUUGGUUUUCGCCAACGGGUUGUUAAUGCUAGUGUUAUCUUCGACCUAAAAAUCAAAGAUCGCGGCAAACCCGGAAAACCAGAGGCAAUGGUUAAAAGAAAUAGUCGCGGCGGCAUCAGUACUGCAUCGUGAGAG
This 669-nucleotide ribosomal RNA is filed under the name Rhyncaphytoptus sp. 18sr97. RNAcentral describes it as "partial 18S ribosomal RNA". It matches the Rfam family "Eukaryotic small subunit ribosomal RNA", at positions 389 to 910 of the family's 1831-position model. Lineage: Eukaryota; Metazoa; Arthropoda; Arachnida; Trombidiformes; Diptilomiopidae. The record is from RNAcentral.